CCUACGGGAGGCAGCAGUGGGGAAUAUUGCACAAUGCGGGAAACCCUGAUGCAGCGACGCCGCGUGAGUGAGGAAGUAUUUCGGUAUGUAAAGCUCUAUCAGCAGGGAAGAAAAUGACGGUACCUGACUAAGAAUCCCCGGCUAACUACUUGCCAGCAGCCGCGGUAAUACGUAGGGGGCAAGCGUUAUCCGGAUGUACGGGGUGUAAAGGGAGCGUAGACGGUUAAUCAAGUCAGAAGUGAAAACCAAGGGCUCAACCUUGGGACUGCUUUUGAAACUGAGUAGCUAGAGUGUAGGAGAGGUAAGCAGAAUUCCUAGUGUAGCGGUGAAAUGCGUAGAUAUUAGGAGGAACACCAGUAGCGAAGGCGGCUAACUGAACUGUAACUGACGUUGAGGCGCGAAAGCGUGGGGAGCAAACAGGAUUAGAUACCCCGGUAGUC
This 440-nucleotide ribosomal RNA is filed under the name uncultured bacterium. Its description in RNAcentral is "partial 16S ribosomal RNA". It matches the Rfam family "Bacterial small subunit ribosomal RNA", at positions 338 to 795 of the family's 1533-position model. The record is from RNAcentral.